This 107-nucleotide small nuclear RNA is filed under the name Procavia capensis (Cape rock hyrax). Lineage: Eukaryota; Metazoa; Chordata; Mammalia; Hyracoidea; Procaviidae. The record is from RNAcentral.
GUGCUCGCUUCAGCAGCGUGUAUACUAAAAUUGGAACGACACAGACAAGAUUAGCAUGGCUCCUGCACAAUGAUGACAUACGAAUUUGUGAAGUGUUUCAUAUUUUU